AAGGAUCAUUAUUGAAUUUUUGAAGAGGUUGUUGCUGAUCUUUGAGAUACGUGCACGCCUUGUUCCAAAUUUCUACACCUUGUGCACAUUUUGUAGACCGGUUUCGUUAGAAAUUGGUUUAUGUUUUAUUAUACACACACUUGUUUUAGAACGUCAUAUAUAAGCUUGUUUUGCAAGCUUAACAAAUUUAAUACAACUUUCAACAACGGAUCUCUUGGCUCUCGCAUCGAUGAAGAACGCAGCGAAAUGCGAUAAGUAAUGUGAAUUGCAGAAUUCAGUGAAUCAUCGAAUCUUUGAACGCACCUUGCGCUCCUUGGUAUUCCGAGGAGCAUGCCUGUUUGAGUGUCAUUAAAUUCUCAACUUCAAUAAUUUUUAUUGAAGUUUGGAUUUUGGGGGUAUUUGCUGGCUGUCAAGUCGGCUCCUCUUAAAUGUAUUAGCUAUUAUUUGCGGAUAGGCUUUGGUUUGAUAAUAUCUAUGCCAUUGCCGUGAAGCAAAGUGACAGCUUCCAACGGUCAUUAUUUUUU
Molecule: ribosomal RNA, 524 nt
Filed under: Hygrophorus chrysodon
Lineage: Eukaryota; Fungi; Basidiomycota; Agaricomycetes; Agaricales; Hygrophoraceae
Description: eukaryotic LSU rRNA
Rfam family: 5.8S ribosomal RNA (bases 195-348)
Source: RNAcentral